GCAUUUAUAGCUUAAUUGGAAAAAGCCUUGGAUUUCGGUCCCAAAAAUGUAGGUUCAAGUCCUACUAAAUGUA
This 73-nucleotide transfer RNA is filed under the name Entomoneis sp. Its description in RNAcentral is "tRNA-Arg". It matches the Rfam family "tRNA". Rfam says of the family: Transfer RNA (tRNA) molecules are approximately 80 nucleotides in length. Their secondary structure includes four short double-helical elements and three loops (D, anti-codon, and T loops). Lineage: Eukaryota; Bacillariophyta; Bacillariophyceae; Surirellales; Surirellaceae. The record is from RNAcentral.